ACGCAGCAAAAUGCGAUAAGUAAUGUGAAUUGCAGAAUUCAGUGAAUCAUCGAAUCUUUGAACGCACAUUGCGCCCGCCAGUAUUCUGGCGGGCAUGCCUGUUCGAGCGUCAUUUCAACCCUCAAGCCCCCGGGUUUGGUGUUGGGGAUCGGCGAGCCCUUGCGGCAAGCCGGCCCCGAAAUCUAGUGGCGGUCUCGCUGCAGCUUCCAUUGCGUAGUAGUAAAACCCUCGCAACUGGUACGCGGCGCGGCCAAGCCGUUAAACCCCCAACUUCUGAAUGUUGACCUCGGAUCAGGUAGGAAUACCCGCUGAACUUAAGCAUAUCAAUAAGCGGAGGA
RNAcentral lists this ribosomal RNA (338 nucleotides) under Fusarium oxysporum. RNAcentral describes it as "eukaryotic LSU rRNA". The stretch from base 1 to 112 matches the Rfam family "5.8S ribosomal RNA", at positions 43 to 154 of the family's 154-position model. The record is from RNAcentral. Lineage: Eukaryota; Fungi; Ascomycota; Sordariomycetes; Hypocreales; Nectriaceae.